Molecule: ribosomal RNA, 472 nt
Filed under: uncultured bacterium
Lineage: Bacteria
Description: bacterial SSU rRNA
Rfam family: Bacterial small subunit ribosomal RNA
Source: RNAcentral
UGGGGAAUAUUGGACAAUGGGCGAAAGCCUGAUCCAGCCAUGCCGCGUGUGUGAAGAAGGUCUUCGGAUUGUAAAGCACUUUAAGUUGGGAGGAAGGGCAGUUACCUAAUACGUAUCUGUUUUGACGUUACCGACAGAAUAAGCACCGGCUAACUCUGUGCCAGCAGCCGCGGUAAUACAGAGGGUGCAAGCGUUAAUCGGAAUUACUGGGCGUAAAGCGCGCGUAGGUGGUUUGUUAAGUUGGAUGUGAAAUCCCCGGGCUCAACCUGGGAACUGCAUUCAAAACUGACAAGCUAGAGUAUGGUAGAGGGUGGUGGAAUUUCCUGUGUAGCGGUGAAAUGCGUAGAUAUAGGAAGGAACACCAGUGGCGAAGGCGACCACCUGGACUGAUACUGACACUGAGGUGCGAAAGCGUGGGGAGCAAACAGGAUUAGAUACCCGAGUAGUCCCUGAGCGGGCUGGCAAGGCGCAU